Molecule: long non-coding RNA, 2401 nt
Organism: Homo sapiens (human)
Lineage: Eukaryota; Metazoa; Chordata; Mammalia; Primates; Hominidae
Product: long intergenic non-protein coding RNA 1094
Source: Ensembl
CUUUUCAGUUCUGUCUUCCUGAGGCUGCUGUUUCUGGGCAUGGCCAGGGGAUCUUCAGACUUUACAAACCAGUUGUGCAGAGCCAGGCAUUUCAAUAAGGAACAAAAUGCUGAGUAACAACAUGAAGUCAGAGUGUUGCUUGCCAAGAGCUGGGAGGCCUGGGUGGUUUCCCAAUCUUAAAGAAGCAGAAGGAUAUUAAAGUGAGCCUCCCAAAGGAAAACGUGGAUCUACUUACCAACGCAGAAAAUGAUACACACGGAUUCGAUUUAGGCACGCUACAUUCAAAUGACUUGGAAGAGCAGGUUCUCUGAGCCAGGAUACUAAAGUCCCUGUUUAGGAAAGAGCCACGUUGUAUGUUUACCCUACCACAAAGAUACAGUCAUGUGCCUGGGAAAGAUUGAUGCCAGCUCCAGAAAGGCAUCCGAAUGGUCUAAGUAAUGCCAUCCAUCUGUCAGUAAUAGAUUCAGAAAUGGAAUUCUGGAGGAAAGUGGCUCUGGGAAUUGAACAGUGGCUCAGUGAUGUUGGGGCCACCAAGUCUGCAAUUCUCCCUACCUGUUCUUCAUGGUUGUAAGAUGACUGCUGCAAUUCUCGGCAUCAUGUGCAUGUUAAUGUCAGGAGGAAGAAAGGAAGAGGGAGCACUGGGAUGUUACAUUCAUUUUGUCAGGAAAAGCAAAGCCUUUCCAGACAGCUCCGAAACUUGCUUACCUCUCAUUGGCCAGCACCAUCACUUGACCACUUGUCCACUCCUAGCUGCAAGGAAAGUGGCAAAGUAGAAGGUAUUUGAGAAUGUCUGCUGGGUUAGCCAAAACAAUAGUGACUUCUACACCCAAUUUUCUGGGCACUGCAGAAGUAUCCUUGAGUCCUAUGUGAUCAGAGGGAGAGCAAACCUCAAUAAUGAAACAGAUUCAAUUUCCAUCACCCAGUGAGACACCAUGGGAUUAGAAUAAAUUUUUAAAAAAACAAAUUGAAAAAAAUGCAUUUUUAAAACAACAAAAUCAGAAAGGAUGAAAGGUGAUAUUUCUAGCAUAUCAGUUUGUGGUGGUAAAUUAAUUACCUUAUACAAAGGCCUCAGUGACUUUCUUCUCCUUACCUAACGAAUCAUCUUUAAAAUAAGUAAAAUAAAGAAACAAGAGCAGCAGCAGAUGCUUCCUAAAAAGAAGUUACCAAAUCUGUUCACCACAAACCUGAGAAUUCAACUGUGGACAUUUGGACACCAGCAAUGAACAUGAAACUCAGCUUAUGAGGCAUAUUUGGCUAAAGGUCAAGGUGACUUAAAGUUCAUCAUAGGACAUCUACAAUUUGCAAAGCAGGUGACUGGAUAUGGACUCCUUCCAAGUCUCAUUUAAUUGGAUAAUGCCUACGUUUUAAGUAUCAGAAGUGAGUCUUUCUCUAUUAAAUGAAGUCAGUUCCACUAAAACCUAAAUCUUGUUUGGCAGGCACUCCAUGUUUCUUAAUUUUUAUUCCAUGCUGUAUAUUCUUUUAGACUUGAUUUUCACUUUUUUUUCUUUUUUCCUGUACAUUUAUCUUUGCUGUGAAACAAAGUGCCCUGCUUUGAAGGACAGGUUUGUGGGCUGCUGGUGGUGAGACAACAGCAGUCCUUCCAAGUCUUCCUCCCAUCACUCUGUUAGCUCUCCCUUUGUUUUUAAUUAGCAUUACACCAGUUAAUUCUGUUAUCUCUUAACCCUGGUUCUGCAUCCUCUUCUUCUUUUCUAUUCCUUACUCCGCUCCUGUUUUUUCUUGUUCUGCUUUUCCAAGAAAUGUCUUGUCUCCUCAUCAGUUGACUGUCUUCUCUUUCCAGAGGGACCAUAAAGGUGCCAGCCUAAGGAACACGUAAAACGUGGGAACAGACAAACAAGCUGCUGCCUAUUACAGAGAUAGAUAAUUAACUUUGGACCAUUACAUGCAAUUCAUCAGCUUAUCUUUUUCAAACUUUAUAUAAGAAGUCAUUUCCCAAUGGUAACCACUUGCCAGCUGCAACUUUGACGCAUAUUAUCAGGAUAGGUGAGAUUGAUGGGGGCCCUUUGAACUCUUCCCAGGGAAUUAUCUUUAUAAUGUUACAGUUUUCUCUAUAGCAUGGUCAUAUUGUUAACAUUGGUUAUAAGGUCAUAUGGUUAGUAUGGUUAGUAUUGGUGGCUCACAGCUGUAAUACCAGCACUUUGGGAGGCCAAGGUGGGAGGAUCACUUGAGCCCUGGUGUUCAAAACCAGCUCUGGAAACAUAGCAAGACCUUGUCUCUACAAAAAAAAAUUAAAUAAAUUAAAAGAUUAGCUGGGCAUGGUGGCACAUGCCUGUAGUCCUCACUACUUGGGAAACUAAGGUGGGAGGAUCCUUUGAGCUUGGGAGGUUGAGGCUGCAGUGAGCUGUGGUUGUGCCAUGGCACUCCAGCCUGGGUGACAGAGUGA